AUUGAACGCUGGCGGAAUGCUUUACACAUGCAAGUCGAACGGUAGAGGGGGCAACCCCUUGAGAGUGGCGAACGGGUGAGUAAUAUAUCGGAACGUGCCCAGUCGUGGGGAUAACGUAGCGAAAGUUACGCUAAUACCGCAUACGAUCUAAGGAUGAAAGCGGGGGAUCGCAAGACCUCGCGCGAUUGGAGCGGCCGAUAUCAGAUUAGGUAGUUGGUGAGGUAAAGGCUCACCAAGCCAACGAUCUGUAGCUGGUCUGAGAGGACGACCAGCCACACUGGAACUGAGACACGGUCCAGACUCCUACGGGAGGCAGCAGUGGGGAAUUUUGGACAAUGGACGCAAGUCUGAUCCAGCCAUUCCGCGUGCAGGAUGAAGGCCCUCGGGUUGUAAACUGCUUUUGUACGGAACGAAACGGUGAGCUCUAAUACAGUUUGCUAAUGACGGUACCGUAAGAAUAAGCACCGGCUAACUAACGUGCCAGCAGCGC
This 490-nucleotide ribosomal RNA is filed under the name uncultured bacterium. Its description in RNAcentral is "bacterial SSU rRNA". It matches the Rfam family "Bacterial small subunit ribosomal RNA", at positions 30 to 518 of the family's 1533-position model. The record is from RNAcentral.